This is a long non-coding RNA of Sceloporus undulatus (fence lizard), 677 nucleotides long. RefSeq lists it as uncharacterized. The record is from RefSeq and is a predicted model, not a curated record. NCBI's taxonomy places the organism in Eukaryota, Metazoa, Chordata, Lepidosauria, Squamata, Phrynosomatidae. The transcript has 4 exons.
CAGGUGCAGCUCUGGAGUGUGAAGUUUGUUCUGGGUUUGGCAAGAAUUGUACUGGAAGUAUGAAGACCUGUCUUCCUGACCAUGAUACCUGUGUCAUUGUCUUGGCUGAAAGUACUUUAGAAGGCAGGUUGGUUCAGACGAUAGCUAAGGGCUGUGAAACUUCUACUAUCUGCAAUUUCCCCGUCAGCCACAUGAAUAUGGGACAGGGAAAAGUCUUACAAACAAGUUUGGUCUGUUGCAGAGAGAAAACCUGACAAAAAGUUUAUCCUUGAUUAUUGCCCGUGGAGACAAAACUGAAUGGAAAACAGUGUCCUGCCUGUUACUCUUGGACAGUUCCAUGCAACCCCAUUGUUUUGAAUUGUACAGGAACAGAGGAAUACUGCUUUGAAGUUUCUACACGUUUCUAUGUUGGUGAAAGACUUAAAGACUUGAACAUGAAGGGCUGCACUACCAAGUCAGUGUGCAAUUCAAUAAAUCAUGGUGACACUCCCAGAUUGGAAAGUGGGGAGGCAGUUCUCUUAAAGGCCCGUUGUGAACUAGACCGUUCUAGUGGGUCUCAUUCCUCUGGACUACAACUGCUGACUUUCUUUGGACUCCUGCUCCUGAAGAUCCUCUCAUAAAAACACACCUAUCUGGAAAUUAACAUCCGCUCUGCCUUCAGUUCUACUUCCUUUCUC